GCACAAGCGGUGGAGCAUGUGGUUCAAUUCGACGCAACGCGAAGAACCUUACCCAGGCUUGAACAGCGAGUGACCACUCACGAAAGUGAGCUUCCGCAGGGACACUCGUAGAGGUGCUGCAUGGCUGUCGUCAGCUCGUGUCGUGAGAUGUUGGGUUAAGUCCCGCAACGAGCGCAACCCUUGUCUGCUGUUGCCAUCACGUUAUGGUGGGCACUCUGCAGAGACUGCCGGUGAUAAACCGGAGGAAGGUGGGGAUGACGUCAAGUCAGCAUGGCCUUUAUGUCUGGGGCUACACACGUGCUACAAUGGCAGAUACAAACCGUCGCGAGACCGCAAGGUGGAGCUAAUCGGAGAAAGUCUGUCUCAGUUCGGAUCGUCGGCUGCAACUCGCCGGCGUGAAGUUGGAAUCGCUAGUAAUCGCGGAUCAGCACGCCGCGGUGAAUACGUUCCCGGGC
Molecule: ribosomal RNA, 455 nt
Filed under: uncultured bacterium
Lineage: Bacteria
Description: bacterial SSU rRNA
Rfam family: Bacterial small subunit ribosomal RNA
Source: RNAcentral